This is a long non-coding RNA of Clupea harengus (Atlantic herring), 613 nucleotides long. RefSeq lists it as uncharacterized. The record is from RefSeq and is a predicted model, not a curated record. NCBI's taxonomy places the organism in Eukaryota, Metazoa, Chordata, Actinopteri, Clupeiformes, Clupeidae.
AACGCUUGAAAGUUUGGGGCGAAGCAACAGAAGGCGGCCUGCAGAACGUUACUACCUACACGGCAGCAGUCAGCGUCAUUGGACUACCUUUUCAAGAAGUUAAGACACGAGUUAAGGAAGAUAACUGGAGAUGUGAUAAAGAUACCAGAACAUCUACGGCCCUAUGAGCUGUCAACUGCAGACACAAGCCUGUCGAUCCACCUGCAGUCUGGUCUGAAUGAUACAGCCCGGCUCUCAGCAUACAAGAUAGACGGCUCACUGCUGCUGACCCCCAAGCGGUUCAUUCAAGUGAGACAGAACUGAGUUCAGCACAAUGGCAGCUGCAUCCCCACAACCAAUGAUUCUUCGUGUUGUUGAGCCAGACCAGGCUAGAAAAUGAAAACUCAGCUCACGACCAGCCUCUGUUGAUGCACUGAUCAACAUUAUGAAAGUACAUCUGGAAAUCAACAGUGACUUUGAUUUGCUUUACGAAGAUCCAGACUUUGAAGGGAAACUUACUUCCCUUGCAGACAUUGAGGAAUUGCCAUAAAAAGCUGUUGUGCACAUCUCACUUUCACAAGAAUCCAGCUCUAUUGCAUCUACUGUUCCACUUUCAGAUGUGUCAUCUCCAGAG